UGGGGAAUCUUAGACAAUGGGGGAAACCCUGGAUCUAGCCAUGCCGCGUGAGCGAUGAAGGCCUUAGGGUUGUAAAGCUCUUUUCAGCUGGGAAGAUAAUGACGGUACCAGCAGAAGAAGCCCCGGCUAACUCCGUGCCAGCAGCCGCGGUAAUACGGAGGGGGCUAGCGUUGUUCGGAAUUACUGGGCGUAAAGCGCACGUAGGCGGAUUAGUCAGUCAGAGGUGAAAUCCCAGGGCUCAACCCUGGAACUGCCUUUGAUACUGCUAGUCUUGAGGUCGAGAGAGGUGAGUGGAAUUCCGAGUGUAGAGGUGAAAUUCGUAGAUAUUCGGAGGAACACCAGUGGCGAAGGCGGCUCACUGGCUCGAUACUGACGCUGAGGUGCGAAAGCGUGGGGAGCAAAACAGGAUUAGAUACCCUGGUAGUCCACGCCGUAAACGAUGAUGCCAG
RNAcentral lists this ribosomal RNA (449 nucleotides) under uncultured bacterium. RNAcentral describes it as "partial 16S ribosomal RNA". It matches the Rfam family "Bacterial small subunit ribosomal RNA", at positions 355 to 818 of the family's 1533-position model. The record is from RNAcentral.